UGAACUUAAUUGAGCAAGCAGUGAAUAUCAUUAGAUCUGAGAGAUCUCGAGUUGAGAUAAAUCUUAAGCAUAUGUGGAACCUUAGGCUAAGUCAUAUAUGAGAAGAAAUGAUUAACAAAUUGAAGAAAUAUAGACUUUUGGGCUCAUUGACUGUUAAGUCAUAUCUAGUUUGUGCAUUAUCUCUUUAAGAAAAUAUGACUAAGCUACUCUUAUGGGAUAAGAGAAAAAGAACCAUUGAGAUACUUAUCUUAGUACACAUUUGAUGUGUGUAGCUCAUGCGAUGUGCUAACAAAGAGAUUUGUCUC
RNAcentral lists this long non-coding RNA (305 nucleotides) under Elaeis guineensis (African oil palm). RNAcentral describes it as "long non-coding RNA (EGUI_LNC055543)". Lineage: Eukaryota; Viridiplantae; Streptophyta; Magnoliopsida; Arecales; Arecaceae. The record is from RNAcentral.